This 75-nucleotide transfer RNA is filed under the name Cordylochernes scorpioides. RNAcentral describes it as "tRNA-Thr". Lineage: Eukaryota; Metazoa; Arthropoda; Arachnida; Pseudoscorpiones; Chernetidae. The record is from RNAcentral.
UGCCCAGGGAUGGGAAUCGAACCCACAGUGUUCCGCUUACGGGGCAGAUGUCAUGUCCACUAGGUUACCCUGGAC